GCGUACCACUUAGACUCCGUAAUUUGUUUAACGCGUUAUCAAUAAUUUGAAACGUAUAUUCGACUCUAGUGUUUUGUAUGCGCGAUAAUUAACCGUGCGGUCGAAUGUUUUUCAAUUACGCUCUGAUCGCCGUGUUAUGUUUGUAAUAUUAUAAUACCGUAUGAUUCUCAAUCGUAUAUUUAAUUCACAGCUUGAAAAUCACGUCAAUUUCCGUAUCCCGUACAUUUCAACGUUUGACAUUUCAUUAUGUUUCACACUUAUUUAAUGCGUUGAAACUCUCAUCAAUGUCACGCCCGUAACGGUAUGAAUUAUGAUUUUCACUAUAAUAAACUUCGAUCCCGACCGGCAUCAUAAGAAUAUCAAUCUUAUUGUUCUACGCGUUUAUCGACGGUGGCUUGUUAAAAGUCGGUAAUGCCGACUAAACGACAUCCAGGCGCCCUUAUAAAAUAUAAUUAAAUCAACAAUAUUUUGUUGAAAGGGCGUACGAAAUUCAACGCGCGUUCAGUGUACACUGUGUGCAUGUGUUAUUGCGUGCGCGAUCAAUAUUAUUGUUCUCUAUAAUAAAUGCCGUUAAAAACCGUUUCGCUGUUUUCUUUUGCAAAACAUUUUUUUUUUUUUUUUUUUUUGCUUUUUGAAAAAAGUGAAAUUUGAUCCAGGACCUGAUUUCGUACCUUUUGCUCGACAAAACAACCACGUUUUUUUUCUAUAAAAAGCAAUCAGUUCAAUGUACCGUUCUUUAAACAGGAAUUCGUUCCAGGAGUCCGUUCCUUUUGGAACUCGCAUUCCUUCCAAACGCCGUCUGAAACAUACUCGUUAUACACGUACGUGUGUAAUAUUUAUUAGGCGCCCUAUAUUCGUAUAAGUGAUGUUUGUAUUGUUAUUUGCACGGGGUCGUGAAUAUCGUCCGCGUCAUAUACGGAACGGAAAGUUUACCGUCAUCACUACAUUAGGGUUUCUAUUCACUGCAGGUGCGUUUCCCGCCGACGCGUCUACUUUUGGAUAUCCAAAUCGAACAAAGGACGAUCGUUCGCGCCCGAGUUUCGUACACCGUUUCGUACGGCGAAACCUUAGGAUUAACGGCGCUUUUUGUUCGGGGUUGCAGCCGCGGAAACUCUAAAGCAC
Non-coding RNA from Cinara cedri, 1122 nucleotides. Lineage: Eukaryota; Metazoa; Arthropoda; Insecta; Hemiptera; Aphididae. The record is from the annotation of a GenBank genome assembly.